RNAcentral lists this long non-coding RNA (312 nucleotides) under Setaria viridis. RNAcentral's name for it is "long non-coding RNA (SVIR_LNC010668)". The record is from RNAcentral. Lineage: Eukaryota; Viridiplantae; Streptophyta; Magnoliopsida; Poales; Poaceae.
GAAUUACUAAGUAUCAAUAGAGAGAUAUUGAUUUUAGUGGGAGUAGAUUCUGUUAAAAUAGUUUAAUGUGAUUUUCUCUAUCAUGGAUACGUUUGUCUUAGUGUAUUUUGCAUUACUUUUGUUGUAGAUUAAAUGGCACCUAGCAGCACUACACCGUUUGCUUUGCGUUCGGUCCUUGAGAAGGACAAGUUGAAUGGAACAAACUACUCAGAUUGGAUCCGUAACCUGAGAAUUGUUCUCAGGGCUGAGAAAAAGGAAGAUAUUCUAGACAACCCACUACCAGAAGAACCUGCUGAUGAUGCACCUGCUGCU